AUUGAACGCUGGCGGCAUGCUUUACACAUGCCAGUCGAACGGUAACAGGCCGCAAGGUGCUGACGAGUGGCGAACGGGUGAGUAAUGCAUCGGAACGUGCCCAGUCGUGGGGGAUAACUACUCGAAAGAGUAGCUAAUACCGCAUACGAUCUAUGGAUGAAAGCGGGGGACCGUAAGGCCUCGCGCGAUUGGAGCGGCCGAUGUCAGAUUAGGUAGUUGGUGGGGUAAAGGCUCACCAAGCCAACGAUCUGUAGCUGGUCUGAGAGGACGACCAGCCACACUGGGACUGAGACACGGCCCAGACUCCUACGGGAGGCAGCAGUGGGGAAUUUUGGACAAUGGGCGCAAGCCUGAUCCAGCAAUGCCGCGUGCAGGAAGAAGGCCUUCGGGUUGUAAACUGCUUUUGUACGGAACGAAACAGCUCUGGUUAAUACCCGGGGCUAAUGACGGUACCGUAAGAAUAAGCACCGGCUAACUACGUG
This 482-nucleotide ribosomal RNA is filed under the name uncultured bacterium. Its description in RNAcentral is "partial 16S ribosomal RNA". It matches the Rfam family "Bacterial small subunit ribosomal RNA", at positions 30 to 507 of the family's 1533-position model. The record is from RNAcentral.